AACGAACGCUGGCGGCAGGCCUAACACAUGCAAGUCGAGCGAGGACUUCGGUUCUAGCGGCGGACGGGUGAGUAACGCGUGGGAAUGUGCCCUUCUCUACGGAAUAGCCCUGGGAAACUGGGAGUAAUACCGUAUACGCCCUUUUUGGGAAAUAUUUAUCGGAGAAGGAUCAGCCCGCGUUGGAUUAGGUAGUUGGUGGGGUAAUGGCCUACCAAGCCGCCGAUCCAUAGCUGGUUUGAGAGGAUGAUCAGCCACACUGGGACUGAGACACGGCCCAGACUCCUAAGGGAGGAAGCAGGGGGGAAUGUUAGACAAUGGGGGCAACCAUGAACGAGCCAUGCCGCGUGAGUGAAGAAGGCCUUAGGGUUGUAAAGCUCUUUCAGCUGGGAAGAUAAUGACGGUACCAGCAGAAGAAGCCCCGGCUAACUCCGUG
Molecule: ribosomal RNA, 433 nt
Filed under: uncultured bacterium
Lineage: Bacteria
Description: partial 16S ribosomal RNA
Rfam family: Bacterial small subunit ribosomal RNA
Source: RNAcentral